CAAUAGCGUAUAUUAAAGUUGUUGCGGUUAAAAAGCUCGUAGUUGGAUUUCUGUCUGAGGCGGCCGGUCCACUUUCUGAGUGAGCAUCUGGUCCGCUUUGGGCAUCCUCCUGGGGAACGUUUCCGCGCUUGAUUGUGUGGUACGGAAUCUAGGACUUUUACUUUGAGGAAAUUAGAGUGUUCACUGCAGGCAUACGCCUUGAAUACGUUAGCAUGGAAUAAUAAGAUAGGACCUCGGUUCUAUUUUUUCGGUUUCUAGAGCUGAGGUAAUGAUUAACAGGGAUAGUUGGGGGCAUUCGUAUUUAACUGUCAGAGGUGAAAUUUCUUGGAUUUAGUUAAAAGACGAACUACUGCGAAAAGCAUUUGCCAAGGAUUGUUUUUCAUUGGAUACAAAGAAACGGUAAAGGUUAGGGAUCGAAAGAUGAU
RNAcentral lists this ribosomal RNA (425 nucleotides) under uncultured eukaryote. RNAcentral describes it as "SSU rRNA". It matches the Rfam family "Eukaryotic small subunit ribosomal RNA", at positions 592 to 1008 of the family's 1831-position model. The record is from RNAcentral.